GAAUCCUGGCUCAGGAUGAACGCUAGCUACAGGCUUAACACAUGCAAGUCGAGGGGCAGCAUGGUCUUAGCUUGCUAAGGCCGAUGGCGACCGGCGCACGGGUGAGUAACACGUAUCCAACCUGCCGUCUACUCUUGGACAGCCUUCUGAAAGGAAGAUUAAUACAAGAUGGCAUCAUGAGUCCACAUGUUCACAUGAUUAAAGGUAUUCCGGUAGACGAUGGGG
This 225-nucleotide ribosomal RNA is filed under the name uncultured bacterium. RNAcentral's name for it is "partial 16S ribosomal RNA". It matches the Rfam family "Bacterial small subunit ribosomal RNA", at positions 14 to 230 of the family's 1533-position model. The record is from RNAcentral.